AGCCGCGGUAAGACGUAGGACGCGAGCGUUAUCCGGAUUUACUGGGCGUAAAGCGUGUGUAGGCGGCGUGACAAGUUGGGCGUGAAAGCCCCGUGCUCAACGCGGGGAGGCCGCACAAUACUGUCAGGCUAGAGGGCAUCAGAGGGGUGUGGAAUUCCCGGAGUAGCGGUAAAAUGCGCAGAUAUCGGGAGGAACACCGGUGGCGAAAGCGGCACCCUGGGGUGCACCUGACGCUGAGAGACGACAGCUAGGGGAGCGAACAGGAUUAGAGACCCUGGUAGUCCUAGCCGUAAACGAUGGAUGCUAGGUGUGGGAGUGAAGAACUUCUGUGCCGCAGCGAACGCGAUAAGCAUCCCGCCUGGGGAGUACGGCCGCAAGGUUAAAACUCAAACGAAUUGACGGGGACCCGCACAAGCAGCGGAGCGUGUGGUUUAAUUCGAUGCUACACGAAGAACCUUACCUGGGAUUGACAUAUGGGUGGUAGUGAGCCGAAAGGCAAGCGACCCUUCGGGGAGCCUAUACAGGUGCUGCAUGGCUGUCGUCAGCUCGUGCCGUGAGGUGUCGGGUUAAGUCCCGUAACGAGCGCAACCCCUGUCCUUAGUUACAAGUGUCUAAGGGGACUGCCGGCGGGAAGCCGGAGGAAGGUGGGGAUGACGUCAAGUCAGCAUGGCCCUUAUAUCCAGGGCGACACACACGCUACAAUGGUCGGUACAGAGGGCAGCGAAGCCGCGAGGUGGAGCGAAACCCAGAAAGCCGGUCGUAGUUCAGAUUGCAGGCUGCAACUCGCCUGCAUGAAGUU
Molecule: ribosomal RNA, 799 nt
Filed under: uncultured organism
Description: bacterial SSU rRNA
Rfam family: Bacterial small subunit ribosomal RNA
Source: RNAcentral